UGUCUCAGCCUGUAAAGAAUCUGCCUGUAAUGCAGGAGACCCAGGUUCAAUCCCUGG
Molecule: transfer RNA, 57 nt
Filed under: Bos taurus (domestic cattle)
Lineage: Eukaryota; Metazoa; Chordata; Mammalia; Artiodactyla; Bovidae
Also listed under: 2 other names
Rfam family: tRNA
About the family: Transfer RNA (tRNA) molecules are approximately 80 nucleotides in length. Their secondary structure includes four short double-helical elements and three loops (D, anti-codon, and T loops).
Source: Rfam by way of RNAcentral